CGCCAGGAUGAACGGCUAGCGGCAGGCCUAAUACAUGCAAGUCGAACGAUAGAUAGAGGCUUGCUUCUAUCGAAAGUGGCGCACGGGUGCGUAACGCGUAUGCAACCUACCUUAAUCUGGGGGAUAGCCCGGAGAAAUCCGGAUUAAUACCGCAUAAAAUCACAGGAUGGCAUUAUCCAAUGAUCAAACAUUUAUGGGAUUGAGAUGGGCAUGCGUGUCAUUAGCUAGUUGGCGGGGUAACGGCCCACCAAGGCGACGAUGACUAGGGGAUCUGAGAGGAUGGCCCCCCACACUGGUACUGAGACACGGACCAGACUCCUACGGGAGGCAGCAGUAAGGAAUAUUGGUCAAUGGAGGCAACUCUGAACCAGCCAUGCCGCGUGCAGGAAGACUGCCCUAUGGGUUGUAAACUGCUUUUAUCCGGGAAUAAACCUAUCUACGUGUAGAUAGCUGAAUGUACCGAAGAAU
RNAcentral lists this ribosomal RNA (468 nucleotides) under Flavobacterium sp. pf32. RNAcentral's name for it is "bacterial SSU rRNA". It matches the Rfam family "Bacterial small subunit ribosomal RNA", at positions 26 to 486 of the family's 1533-position model. Lineage: Bacteria; Pseudomonadati; Bacteroidota; Flavobacteriia; Flavobacteriales; Flavobacteriaceae. The record is from RNAcentral.